RNAcentral lists this ribosomal RNA (502 nucleotides) under Lactobacillus johnsonii. RNAcentral describes it as "bacterial SSU rRNA". It matches the Rfam family "Bacterial small subunit ribosomal RNA", at positions 50 to 513 of the family's 1533-position model. Lineage: Bacteria; Bacillati; Bacillota; Bacilli; Lactobacillales; Lactobacillaceae. The record is from RNAcentral.
UAUACNUGCAGUCGAGCGAGCUUGCCUAGAUGAUUUUAGUGCUUGCACUAAAUGAAACUAGAUACAAGCGAGCGGCGGACGGGUGAGUAACACGUGGGUAACCUGCCCAAGAGACUGGGAUAACACCUGGAAACAGAUGCUAAUACCGGAUAACAACACUAGACGCAUGUCUAGAGUUUGAAAGAUGGUUCUGCUAUCACUCUUGGAUGGACCUGCGGUGCAUUAGCUAGUUGGUAAGGUAACGGCUUACCAAGGCAAUGAUGCAUAGCCGAGUUGAGAGACUGAUCGGCCACAUUGGGACUGAGACACGGCCCAAACUCCUACGGGAGGCAGCAGUAGGGAAUCUUCCACAAUGGACGAAAGUCUGAUGGAGCAACGCCGCGUGAGUGAAGAAGGGUUUCGGCUCGUAAAGCUCUGUUGGUAGUGAAGAAAGAUAGAGGUAGUAACUGGCCUUUAUUUGACGGUAAUUACUUAGAAAGUCACGGCUAACUACGUGCCAGCA